GAUGAACGCUGGCGGCGUGCCUAAUACAUGCAAGUCGAGCGAACGGACGAGAAGCUUGCUUCUCUGAUGUUAGCGGCGGACGGGUGAGUAACACGUGGAUAACCUACCUAUAAGACUGGGAUAACUUCGGGAAACCGUAUCUAAUACCGGAUAAUAUUUUGAACCGCAUGGUUCAAAAGUGAAAGACGGUCUUGCUGUCACUUAUAGAUGGAUCCGCGCUGCAUUAGCUAGUUGGUAAGGUAACGGCUUACCAAGGAAACGAUGCAUAGCCGACCUGAGAGGGUGAUCGGCCACACUGGAACUGAGACACGGUCCAGACUCCUACGGGAGGCAGCAGUAGGGAAUCUUCCGCAAUGGGCGAAAGCCUGACGCAGCAACGCCGCGUGAGUGAUGAAGGUCUUCGGAUCGUAAAACUCUGUUAUUAGGGAAGAACAUAUGUGUAAGUAACUGUGCCCAUCUUGACGGUACCUAAUCAGAAAGCCACGGCUAACUACGUG
RNAcentral lists this ribosomal RNA (497 nucleotides) under uncultured bacterium. RNAcentral describes it as "partial 16S ribosomal RNA". It matches the Rfam family "Bacterial small subunit ribosomal RNA", at positions 28 to 507 of the family's 1533-position model. The record is from RNAcentral.